Molecule: ribosomal RNA, 253 nt
Filed under: uncultured bacterium
Lineage: Bacteria
Description: partial 16S ribosomal RNA
Rfam family: Bacterial small subunit ribosomal RNA
Source: RNAcentral
UACGAAGGCGGCAAGCGUUGUUCGGAUUUACUGGGCGUACAGGGAGCGUAGGCGGAUAGGUAAGCCCUCCGUGAAAUCUCCUGGCUCAACUGGGAGGGGUCGUCCGAAACUACCAGUCUUGAGGGCAGUAGAGGGAGGUGGAAUUCCGGGUGUAGUGGUGAAAUGCGUAGAUAUCCGGAGGAACACCGGUGGCGAAAGCGGCCUCCUGGGCUGCCCCUGACGCUCAGACGAGAGAGCUAGGGGAGCGAACGGG